GACAGAGGGUGCAAACGUUGUUCGGAAUUACUGGGCGUAAAGGGCUCGUAGGCGGCCAACUAAGUCAGACGUGAAAUCCCUCGGCUUAACCGGGGAACUGCGUCUGAUACUGGAUGGCUUGGAUUUGGGAGAGGGAUGCGGAAUUCCAGGUGUAGCGGUGAAAUGCGUAGAUAUCUGGAGGAACACCGGUGGCGAAGGCGGCAUCCUGGACCAAUAUUGACGCUGAGGAGCGAAAGCUAGGGGAGCAAACGGG
Molecule: ribosomal RNA, 253 nt
Filed under: uncultured bacterium
Lineage: Bacteria
Description: partial 16S ribosomal RNA
Rfam family: Bacterial small subunit ribosomal RNA
Source: RNAcentral